UGUGUGUGGGGGGGAGGGUGUGCACCAGAGCGCAGUUGCCUGGUGAGGCCAGAAGAGAGCAUCAGAUUACUGGAGCUGGAGUUUCAGGUAGGUGUGAGCCACCUGUUUGCCAGUGUUGGGAACUGAACUCUGGUCCUCUGCAUGAGUAGUAAGUGUUACUAACUGUUCAAGCAUUUCUCCGGAUCCUCCAGAAAUGUUAUUUAAGGGGAGAAAGAUCCAUUUUGUGUGUGGGCAGCACCAUCUAGUUUCGAAGGGUCUUGAAUGGAAUAAAAGGAAGAAGGAGGCUUACUAAUGCAGACUUGUCUCAGCUCCUGGCUUCCAUGAUGAAGUCUUGUGUCUACCAUGCCCUCUCUACCAGCUAACGGGCCUAAAACACAGGCCAAAAGAAAAUCUCAAGUUGUUUCCCUCAAGUCGUCUGUCAUGACCCAAUGGGGGCUCAGGGCAACCCAUGCUGGCCUUAAGCAGUCUGCAUUGACUUCUGAGUGCGGAUUGGAGCAUGCACCGUCCUGUCUGUUAGCUGCUAUUUUUAAGCUAGGUGGAUGAAGAUUUUCGUAUUCCUUUUUAGAAGACAGAUUUAAAUAAAAAUAACUCCCAAUGUUCGCACAUUUAUAUUUGCUUUUUUGAAAAAUAGCUCUGUUUUUAAUAAAAGAAACUAUUACUCUUAUUUGGGCAUUUGUUACGAGUAAGACUAUUAUGAUUAGUGUAACAGCUCUGUUAUGCCUGGAGUGGCCAGAGGGACAGUGCAGGGACACCUGGGUAGUAUCAUGAAAUGGGGACUAAAAGGAAUUUAAUACGCCAAAAUGUCCCCUUGAUAGCUUGCAGUUUUAUUUUAUUGUUCUCCCAGCUUCAGCUGGGAGCCUGACACAGCCAGAGACACCUGAGGAAGUCUCAGUUGGGUUUUGCCUCAAUCAGAUUGGCCUGUGAACAAGCCUGUGGGGCAUUUUCAUGAUCGCCAGCUGCUGUGGGAGGGUCCGGGCCACUGUGGGUGGUACCAGUCCUGGGGAGGAACCAACUGAGCCGGAGUGCUAGCAAGCCCGGAAGCAGCAUAACAUAGUUCCUGCCUCAGUGAUGGACUGCAGCCUGGAAGCGGGAGUCAGACAAAACCGUUCCUCCUCAAGUUGCUUUUGGUCGUGGUGUUUAGUACACAACAGAAAACAAAGUAGACAAAGUAAACAAAGUUAUCAUGGUAAAGAAGAGAAGGGAGACAAUCUAAAUUUGAUCGGCCCUAGAUAAUAUUUAACAAACAGUCUUGUUUCGAUUCAGAAACCAAAAUCCUGAUUUCUAUAUUGGAGAGAGCAGAUGGGCCUGGGAGAUAACGCAGUCAUGAGUGCUGUGGAAGCUUAGCCUGACCAAGUUCAACGUCGGAAUUUGUGUAAAAAGACAAAUGUGCAAUCCUGGUAUUUCUACAGUAAGGAUGGAGGCAGGCAGGAGAAUUGCCUGGAAGCCCGUGAACCAGUUAUCCUGGAGCAUGGAUGUGACCCAAGUUAGAUCCCCAGAACCCAAUCAAGGCAGGAGGAGGGAUCUGACUCCUAAAAUUAUCCUCUGACCUCCAUAUGCUUCUCUCUUUUUCUCCCCCCUCCCUCUCCCUGACAAUAUUUGAAUAAAUAAAUGUAGAAGUAAUAACUGCCCUGACUUUUGCAUUUUUCUUACUAUAAUUUUUCCCAACCAACCAAUUCAUACAGAAAAAUAUAAAUAUAUGUUGUAUUAAUUCUGAACAGGACCCAUGCAUACCUCUUAAGAAGAAAGAGGAGAAGUGGGGCUGGGGAAGGGAAGUGAGGAAUGGUAUGUUUGUUGGCCGUGACCUGCUGUUUUUAGAUUGGCAAGUUGUCCCUGUUUGGCUGCCUUUGCCCAUCUCAUUUGGCAACUCCUGAGCCCGCAUCUUUCAGAAGGUGUAAGAAGCUUGCAAGGUGGGAAGGAUUUCUUUGGCUUUUCCAGGCAUCGUUGCUGAGAAAGCAUCACUACAGACUUUUGGAAGGGCACGGACUGUAAGUAAAACCAUGGGCGUUUGAAUUAGUGCAGUGGAUACAUGUAGCUUGAAAGAUAUGCUGUAUUUCUACCUUUCUGCCUUCAUAGGGAAUGACGAAUCUAUCAACCUUCUGCUUAACUUGGUUUUAUCCGUUAUCAAGAGAAAUUAAUUUAGAGGCAGAUGCAGAUUCCUUACAUCUACAGAUUCAAACAUUUGUGCACUCCUAUGGUCAUUAUGAUCAAAUAAUAGAGAGAAAGGGAAACAGCAUGGGUGCCAUGGGAAGAAUGCCUGGAGAGAGCCAAGUCCAGGAUUAAUGUAUUAAGAUGAAUUCAAGGCUAAAGAAAUAGGAGGUAAAUAGAGAAAUCUAAUAUCCCAUCGAUGUGGGUAAAGGAUGCUAUUAUACCACUGUCUAAUUUUAUUUGUAGUUUAUAAAAAGUGCUUUGAAACCUUUCUGUUACAGACUAAAAAUCUCAUUGUCAGCUUUAUGCACUGUCAAUGGUGCUGUUUGCCUGUGCUGUCUUAUUUCACUAUUUCCUAUGCUAAGUUUUUAUUAUUGAUCAAUGGUCAUGUUCUCAUGGCUGAAGAAUUUUAUUACAUAAGUUAAGAAAUGUUUAAUGCUUAAUAUUUUUAUUAUGGUUGACGAUAUCUGGUAUUUUAAUAGGCACACAAGUUCGUUCGUUUAAAGUCAGCCCUGUCUUAAGCUGCACAAUCAUUUUAAAGAAUUGUGUAUUUAAGAAGAAAGUGACUUUUUCAUGGCUCUCUCCAAAGUGGUAAUUUUCUUCUUCCUCCUUGAGGACUUGAGAAAGGCUCACUAUAAGCUUAGUCAUGAGUGGAGUAAAACCGUUAGGUGCAAACCAUUAUUGAUUUAUUUAAAUUUGUUGUCUGGAAGUCACUAAUAUAUAAAGGAAUAGGAGCUUAGAAUGACGUCAAAG
Non-coding RNA from Myodes glareolus (Bank vole), 2898 nucleotides. The record is from RefSeq and is a predicted model, not a curated record. NCBI's taxonomy places the organism in Eukaryota, Metazoa, Chordata, Mammalia, Rodentia, Cricetidae.